GUGAAAUUCCGUCGGAAUCUGGGAGGACCAUCUCCUAAGGCUAAAUACUCUCUAGUGACCGAUAGUGAACCAGUACCGUGAGGGAAAGGUGAAAAGCACCCCGGAAGGGGAGUGAAAUAGAACCUGAAACCGUGUGCUUACAAGUAGUCAGAGCCCGUUAAUGGGUGAUGGCGUGCCUUUUGUAGAAUGAACCGGCGAGUUACGAUUUGAUGCAAGGUUAAGCAGUAAAUGUGGAGCCGUAGCGAAAGCGAGUCUGAAUAGGGCGUUUAGUAUUUGGUCGUAGACCCGAAACCAGGUGAUCUACCCUUGGUCAGGUUGAAGUUCAGGUAACACUGAAUGGAGGACCGAACCGACUUACGUUGAAAAGUGAGCGGAUGAACUGAGGGUAGCGGAGAAAUUCCAAUCGAACCUGGAGAUAGCUGGUUCUCUCCGAAAUAGCUUUAGGGCUAGCCUCAAGUGAUGAUUAUUGGAGGUAGAGCACUGUUUGGACGAGGGGCCCCUCUCGGGUUACCGAAUUCAGACAAACUCCGAAUGCCAAUUAAUUUAACUUGGGAGUCAGAACAUGGGUGAUAAGGUCCGUGUUCGAAAGGGAAACAGCCCAGACCACCAGCUAAGGUCCCAAAAUAUAUGUUAAGUGGAAAAGGAUGUGGCGUUGCCCAGACAACUAGGAUGUUGGCUUAGAAGCAGCCAUCAUUUAAAGAGUGCGUAAUAGCUCACUAGUCGAGUGACACUGCGCCGAAAAUGUACCGGGGCUAAACAUAUUACCGAAGCUGUGGAUUGUCCUUUGGACAAUGGUAGGAGAGCGUUCUAAGGGCGUUGAAGCAUGAUCGUAAGGACAUGUGGAGCGCUUAGAAGUGAGAAUGCCGGUGUGAGUAGCGAAAGACGGGUGAGAAUCCCGUCCACCGAUUGACUAAGGUUUCCAGAGGAAGGCUCGUCCGCUCUGGGUUAGUCGGGUCCUAAGCUGAGGCCGACAGGCGUAGGCGAUGGAUAACAGGUUGAUAUUCCUGUACCACCUAUAAUCGUUUUAAUCGAUGGGGGGACGCAGUAGGAUAGGCGAAGCGUGCGAUUGGAUUGCACGUCUAAGCAGUAAGGCUGAGUAUUAGGCAAAUCCGGUACUCGUUAAGGCUGAGCUGUGAUGGGGAGAAGACAUUGUGUCUUCGAGUCGUUGAUUUCACACUGCCGAGAAAAGCCUCUAGAUAGAAAAUAGGUGCCCGUACCGCAAACCGACACAGGUAGUCAAGAUGAGAAUUCUAAGGUGAGCGAGCGAACUCUCGUUAAGGAACUCGGCAAAAUGACCCCGUAACUUCGGGAGAAGGGGUGCUCUUUAGGGUUAACGCCCAGAAGAGCCGCAGUGAAUAGGCCCAAGCGACUGUUUAUCAAAAACACAGGUCUCUGCUAAACCGUAAGGUGAUGUAUAGGGGCUGACGCCUGCCCGGUGCUGGAAGGUUAAGAGGAGUGGUUAGCUUCUGCGAAGCUACGAAUCGAAGCCCCAGUAAACGGCGGCCGUAACUAUAACGGUCCUAAGGUAGCGAAAUUCCUUGUCGGGUAAGUUCCGACCCGCACGAAAGGCGUAACGAUUUGGGCACUGUCUCAACGAGAGACUCGGUGAAAUCAUAGUACCUGUGAAGAUGCAGGUUACCCGCGACAGGACGGAAAGACCCCGUGGAGCUUUACUGUAGCCUGAUAUUGAAAUUCGGCACAGCUUGUACAGGAUAGGUAGGAGCCUUUGAAACGUGAGCGCUAGCUUACGUGGAGGCGCUGGUGGGAUACUACCCUAGCUGUGUUGGCUUUCUAACCCGCACCACUUAUCGUGGUGGGAGACAGUGUCAGGCGGGCAGUUUGACUGGGGCGGUCGCCUCCUAAAAGGUAACGGAGGCGCUCAAAGGUUCCCUCAGAAUGGUUGGAAAUCAUUCAUAGAGUGUAAAGGCAUAAGGGAGCUUGACUGCGAGACCUACAAGUCGAGCAGGGUCGAAAGACGGACUUAGUGAUCCGGUGGUUCCGCAUGGAAGGGCCAUCGCUCAACGGAUAAAAGCUACCCCGGGGAUAACAGGCUUAUCUCCCCCAAGAGUUCACAUCGACGGGGAGGUUUGGCACCUCGAUGUCGGCUCAUCGCAUCCUGGGGCUGUAGUCGGUCCCAAGGGUUGGGCUGUUCGCCCAUUAAAGCGGUACGCGAGCUGGGUUCAGAACGUCGUGAGACAGUUCGGUCCCUAUCCGUCGUGGGCGUAGGAAAUUUGAGAGGAGCUGUCCUUAGUACGAGAGGACCGGGAUGGACAUACCUCUGGUGUACCAGUUGUCGUGCCAACGGCAUAGCUGGGUAGCUAUGUGUGGACGGGAUAAGUGCUGAAAGCAUCUAAGCAUGAAGCCCCCCUCAAGAUGAGAUUUCCCAACUUCGGUUAUAAGAUCCCUCAAAGAUGAUGAGGUUAAUAGGUUCGAGGUGGAAGCAUGGUGACAUGUGGAGCUGACGAAUACUAAUCGAUCGAAGACUUAAUCAA
Molecule: ribosomal RNA, 2492 nt
Filed under: Staphylococcus aureus
Lineage: Bacteria; Bacillati; Bacillota; Bacilli; Caryophanales; Staphylococcaceae
Description: partial 23S ribosomal RNA
Rfam family: Bacterial large subunit ribosomal RNA
Source: RNAcentral